GACGAACGCUGGCGGCGUGCCUAACACAUGCAAGUCGAACGGCAAGGCCCUGCUUUCUUGGUGUGCUCGAGUGGCGAUCGGGUGAGUAACACGUGAGUAACCUGCUCUUGACUUUGGGAUAACUUCAGGAAACUGGGCCUAAUACCGGAUAGCAGCUCCCGCUCCAUGGUGGGCGUUGGAACUUCGCGGCGGUCGGGGAUGGACUCGCGGCUUAUCAGCUAGUUGGUGGGGUAGUGGCUGACCAAGGCUUUGACGGAUAGCCGGCAUGAGAGGGUGACCGGGCACAUUGGGACUGAGAUACGGCCCAGACUCCUACGGGAGGCAGCAGGGGGAAGUAUUACACAAUGGGCGGGAGCCGGAGGAAGAGACGCCGCGUGCGGGAUGACGGCCUUCGGGGUGUAAACAGCAUUAGCCUGAGACGAAGCGGGAGUGACGGUAAUGAGUGAAGAAGCACCGGCUAACUACGUG
Molecule: ribosomal RNA, 468 nt
Filed under: uncultured bacterium
Lineage: Bacteria
Description: partial 16S ribosomal RNA
Rfam family: Bacterial small subunit ribosomal RNA
Source: RNAcentral